CGUUAUGGCGGCUGUGCGCGGGACACCUUCGGGUGUGCCGGGAUCCUGUAUCCCCGGUCGGCCAACCCGCGUACAGUCGCCCCCAUC
This 87-nucleotide non-coding RNA is filed under the name Halomonas organivorans. Lineage: Bacteria; Pseudomonadati; Pseudomonadota; Gammaproteobacteria; Oceanospirillales; Halomonadaceae. The record is from RNAcentral.